AUUGAACGCUGGCGGCAGGCUUAACACAUGCAAGUCGAGCGGGGUGAUGGUGCUUGCACUAUCACUUAGCGGCGGACGGGUGAGUAAUGCUUAGGAAUCUGCCUAUUAGUGGGGGACUACAUCUCGAAAGGGAUGCUAAUACCGCAUACGGCCUACGGGAGAAAGCAGGGGAUCACUUGUGACCUUGCGCUAAUAGAUGAGCCUAAGUCGGAGUAGCUAGUCGGUGGGGUAAAGGCCUACCAAGGCGACGAUCUGUAGCGGGUCUGAGUGGAUGAUCCUCCACACUGGGACUGAGACACGGCCCAGACUCCUACGGGAGGCAGCAGUGGGGAAUAUUGGACAAUGGGGGGAACCCUGAUCCAGCCAUGCCGCGUGUGUGAGGAAGGCCUUAUGGUUGUAAAGCACUUUAAGCGAGGAGGAGGCUCUUUUGGUUAAUACCCAAGAUGAGUGGACGUUACUCGCAGAAUAAGCACCGGCUAACUCUGUGCCAGCCGCCGCAGUAA
Molecule: ribosomal RNA, 503 nt
Filed under: uncultured bacterium
Lineage: Bacteria
Description: partial 16S ribosomal RNA
Rfam family: Bacterial small subunit ribosomal RNA
Source: RNAcentral